UACGGAGGGUGCAAGCGUUAUCCGGAUUUACUGGGCGUAAAGGGCGCGUAGGCGGACAGUUUAGUCAGAGGUGAAAGCCCAGGGCUCAACCUUGGAACUGCCUUUGAUACUGACUGUCUUGAGUUCGGGAGAGGUGAGUGGAAUGCCGAGUGUAGAGGUGAAAUUCGUAGAUAUUCGGCGGAACACCAGUGGCGAAGGCGACUCACUGGCCCGAUACUGACGCUGAGGCGCGAAAGCGUGGGGAGCAAACAGG
This 253-nucleotide ribosomal RNA is filed under the name uncultured bacterium. RNAcentral describes it as "partial 16S ribosomal RNA". It matches the Rfam family "Bacterial small subunit ribosomal RNA", at positions 524 to 776 of the family's 1533-position model. The record is from RNAcentral.